GCCGGAAUUGCUAGUAAUGGCAGGUCAGCAUACUGCCGUGAAUACGUUCCCGGGCCUUGUACACACCGCCCGUCACACCAUGGGAGUCGGGAAUGCCCGAAGUCAGUGACCCAACCUAUUGGAGGGAGCUGCCGAAGGCAGGUCUGAUAACUGGGGUGAAGUCGUAACAAGGUAUC
This 176-nucleotide ribosomal RNA is filed under the name uncultured bacterium. Its description in RNAcentral is "partial 16S ribosomal RNA". It matches the Rfam family "Bacterial small subunit ribosomal RNA", at positions 1325 to 1500 of the family's 1533-position model. The record is from RNAcentral.